GGGAUAGCGAGGAGAGGGAAGAAAAAAAAGAAACGCUGUUGCGCUUGCGCCGUUGCCACGACGACUGCCGACGCUCCAACAGUCCCACGAUUGUCCUCUGCCCAUGUAAAAGCAAAUGAUUUGUUUUGUGUCAAGUGAAAACUCUGCCAAAUUGGCGUUUUUAGCCUGCCGCAGAUGGCAGGAAGGCAUUUGUCAUGCGCUUGGUCGAGAGCGGUGCAGCAUGGGUUUGGGUCGUCUUGCACCAUGGACUCACAGGAACGGUAUGGCCGAAAAAAGAAACUUGAAGUCGGUUCCUGCUCCUGUAAUGUAUUUAUAAGAGCAGCAGCAUUCUCCUGGUCUACGGCACUGAAGCGAUCUUUCCUCAAUACGGGAGCUGUCGUUGGUUGCAAUGCUCUCGCUUAGCUUGACAAGUGCCUUGCUUUUGGCUUCUCUUCGUGCUGUUGCACUGAGGGAAGGAUCCACCUGCAGGACAGUAUGUACAUCUCGUCCCAGUCAGAAGUGGAGCCUGCCGAAGCCUGAAACCAUAGGAUACAUUAAGGAACCAGCUGGUUUAAGAACUACAGUAGUUUUGUGAAAGUAUGUACAUAGUCAUUCUGAUGGUUCGUCACAUCCGUAAGGGGAAAGCCUAAGCUACAUGAAGGUCAGUCACAAAGAAGAGAAGUGUUCUCCCCAUCGAAUUCUUUUUCGAUGACCUUGUUCCGUGUAUGUGAAGAAAGUAGAAACCAAACCGUCUAACCAAAUAACACAGACCGUUGGGCUAGUUGGUAUUCCAUGGCAAAGGCGCUCGUUCCUGUUUGUCUUCCGCUGUCCGUUUUGUAACACUUUGCAGCGUUUUUUGCACCUUUGCCGUCUGACCAAUUAUUUUCUUAUCAUCAUCGUCCCAUAGUUCCAUGCAACGUGAUGAGCUCUGGGAUUUUCUGAAGUCAUCUGUUUCACUUCACGCAUUUCCAACAGUAUGAAGUGAAAACGCGGAAAUAAAAUAAACCCACUGACCUAAGGUAAAACUAGGUAAAACGUUUAAACUAGGUAAAUGACUCGGAGUUUGUGUGUGAGUAUAACAAUUAACUUGCCUUUUCGUCCUGAAUCCCAUGUCGAUCCUUCCCGAAGAUGCACCCCUUCUUUAUAUUGGAUAGAACUUGAAAGGGUAUAUCCAGUGAAAUGGGGACUUCGCCUUUCCCAGUGCUGAACAGGAGCCUAGCUGCAAUGCCGUCAUGUCAUUAAAUAUAAAGUUCGCUGACAUGGUCAUCAUCAUCAUAUAAUUCAACGAAUGUAGUUGUUCAUUGAAAGCAGGAUUGUCAGUUAUUUUUAUAAUGUAUCUGGGUUACAGCUAGUACAUGCUAAAAGUAUUUUAGUUAUAGCUAGAGAUACCACAAGAAAAACUACACAGUUGGUCUUUUCCAAUAUUCCCUACAAAUUGCUGUUGCUGAACAGGAUGGGCACACAACAACAAAAGAACAAAAAACCUAGGCUCAGUCUUGACUGUGACCCACUGAUGGAUCGGGGGAGGGGGGGCUAUCACCCUCCACCCCCCCCCCCCCCAAAAAAAACGUGUGAGUGCAAGUGCUCACAGUUUAAUGCAGCAGCUAUUCCAAACCCAAACUUUUCAUUGUGUGUGCGUCAUUUGCUGUGUAUCCCUUGUUUGCAAACUUUAGUGCUGUAGAAGUUGUAGAAGAAAAAAACAAUAAAAAACUGAAGAGCAGAUACAGGUAAAUGAAAAACGAGCUGAGUAACAGGUAACAGUGCCUUCUUGAAAAUGUAUCUGGCGUUUUCCUCAAGUUACAAGUACCUAUAAACAAAGAUGAGUGCGGCUGGGGUUAUACCCGCGGAUACCCGCGCAAGCGUGUUCUUCGCGGGUACAUCUGUGUCAUAGCAGGUUGCUGGUCGACCCGCACUGCCUCCGCGGAUUACGCGGGAAUACCCGCAGGCGCAAAACCAGCCCGUCGGCUUGUGGUGCGGACAGUUUCCCCAGCAUCAAUAAAUAAUUUCGUCCUGUGAUGAUCAUAUGCGGCAUAAAUGAAACUGUGUUCGCAUUCGGUUGCGGGUCGGGAUGUGCGGAUGCGGAUUGCACCAGUGGCAUGUUGUUGCGGUUGCGGGCCAUGCGGAUGCCGUGUGGGUACGAAUUUUUAUGCCCGCACUCAUCUACCUACAUACAAGUAUUCAGAUUCUUCUGCUCAGACCGAUAGACGCUUAUGAUUGAAAGACAUGUCUUUCAAUCAUAAUAAGCGUCUAUCGGUCUGAGCAG
Ornithodoros turicata is the source of this 2242-nucleotide long non-coding RNA. RefSeq lists it as uncharacterized. The transcript has 4 exons. The record is from RefSeq and is a predicted model, not a curated record. Lineage: Eukaryota; Metazoa; Arthropoda; Arachnida; Ixodida; Argasidae.